AUUCACAGCCAUAUUACCCUGCAGCCCAAGACCAGUUACUUGCUGAAGCUAAGCAGGGCUGAGCCUGGUCAGUACCUGGAUGGGAGACAACAUAAGGAAACUAGGUUGCGUUGAAAG
This is a ribosomal RNA of Danio rerio (zebrafish), 117 nucleotides long. Lineage: Eukaryota; Metazoa; Chordata; Actinopteri; Cypriniformes; Danionidae. The record is from Ensembl.